Molecule: ribosomal RNA, 913 nt
Filed under: uncultured marine archaeon
Lineage: Archaea
Description: bacterial SSU rRNA
Rfam family: Archaeal small subunit ribosomal RNA
Source: RNAcentral
UUCCGGUUGAUCCCGCCGGACCUGACUGCUAUCGGAUUGAUACUAAGCCAUGCGAGUCUUUGUAGUAAUACAAGGCAGACGGCUCAGUAACACGUAGUCAACCUACCCUAUGGACAAGAAUAAUCUCGGGAAACUGAGCAUAAUACUCGAUAGAUCAUAAUGCCUGGAAUGGUUUAUGGUUGAAAUGAUUCGUCGCCAUAGGAUGGGACUGCGGCCUAUCAGCUUGUUGGUGAGGUAAUGGCCCACCAAGGCGAUUACAGGUACGGGCUCUGAGAGGAGAAGCCCGGAGAUGGGUACUGAGACAAGGACCCAGGCCCUAUGGGGCGCAGCAGGCGAGAAAACUUUGCAAUGUGCGAAAGCACGACAAGGUUAAUCCGAGUGAUUUCUGCUAAAGAAAUCUUUUGCAAGUCAUAAAACCACUAGUGAAUAAGGGGUGGGCAAGUUCUGGUGUCAGCCGCCGCGGUAAAACCAGCACCUCAAGUGGUCAGGAGGAUUAUUGGGCCUAAAGCAUCCGUAGCCGGCUCUGUAAGUUUUCGGUUAAAUCCAUGUGCUCAACGCAUGGGCUGCCGAAAAUACUGCAUAGCUAGGGAGUGGGAGAGGUAGACGGUACUCGGUAGGAAGGGGUAAAAUCCUUUGAUCUAUCGAUGACCACCUGUGGCGAAGGCGGUCUACCAGAACACGUUCGACGGUGAGGGAUGAAAGCUGGGGGAGCAAACCGGAUUAGAUACCCGGGUAGUCCCAGCUGUAAACGAUGCAGACUCGAUGAUGCAUUGGCAUAUAGCCAGUGCAGUGUCGCAGGGAAGCCGUUAAGUCUGCCGCCUGGGAAGUACGUACGCAAGUAUGAAACUUAAAGGAAUUGGCGGGGGAGCACCACAAGGGGUGAAGCCUGCGGUUCAAUUGGAGUCAACGCCGG